Long non-coding RNA from Chenopodium quinoa (quinoa), 240 nucleotides. RefSeq lists it as uncharacterized. NCBI's taxonomy places the organism in Eukaryota, Viridiplantae, Streptophyta, Magnoliopsida, Caryophyllales, Amaranthaceae. The record is from RefSeq and is a predicted model, not a curated record. The transcript has 3 exons.
UGGAGAGCAACGAUGGUGAGUUUUGAUUUGUAAUUGAUGGCGGUGGUGGAGAGUUGCUGAGCUAAUGUCGCUCAAACUCCAGCUUCGUGCCCUGAUCUUUGAGAACAUCAUCAUCGUCCGUGGUAGUUGGUGAGAGUGAUUUGCUAAUUGUUGGACCUGGUGUUCUUGGUCGCUUGGUAGCUCAACAAUGGAGUCAGGUUAAUUUCUUUCGUUUGGGAUUCUCGCCUUUAUGUUCUUGCC